UUACAUUUUCUGGAAAAUUUG
This 21-nucleotide non-coding RNA is filed under the name Caenorhabditis elegans. The record is from RNAcentral. Lineage: Eukaryota; Metazoa; Nematoda; Chromadorea; Rhabditida; Rhabditidae.